GGCUCAGGAUGAACGCUGGCGGCGUGCUUAACACAUGCAAGUCGAACGGGGAUGCUGACGGAAGGGGUGCUUGCACUCUGGAAGUAAGGAUCUUAGUGGCGGACGGGUGAGUAACGCGUGGGUAACCUGCCCCAUACCGGGGGAUACCACCUGGAAACAGGUGCUAAUACCGCAUAAGCGCACGGGAGCGCAUGCUCCUGUGUGAAAAACUCCGGUGGUAUGGGAUGGACCCGCGUCUGAUUAGCCAGUUGGCAGGGUAACGGCCUACCAAAGCGACGAUCAGUAGCCGGCCUGAGAGGGUGGACGGCCACAUUGGGACUGAGACACGGCCCAAACUCCUACGGGAGGCAGCAGUGGGGAAUAUUGCACAAUGGGGGAAACCCUGAUGCAGCGACGCCGCGUGAGUGAAGAAGUAUUUCGGUAUGUUAAGCUCUAUCAGCAGGAACGAGACAAGACGGUACCUGACUAAGAAGCCCCGGCUAACUACGUGCCAGCAGCCGCGGUAAUACGUAGGGGGCAAGCGUUAUCCGGAAUCACUGGGUGUAAAGGGAGCGUAGACGGCUGAGCAAGCCUGAAGUGAAAGGCGGGGGCCCAACCCCCGGACUGCUUUGGGAACUGUACGGCUGGAGUGCAGGAGAGGUAAGUGGAAUUCCUAGUGUAGCGGUGAAAUGCGUAGAUAUUAGGAGGAACACCAGUGGCGAAGGCGGCUUACUGGACUGUAACUGACGUUGAGGCUCGAAAGCGUGGGGAGCAAACAGGAUUAGAUACCCUGGUAGUCCACGCCGUAAAC
RNAcentral lists this ribosomal RNA (790 nucleotides) under uncultured bacterium. RNAcentral's name for it is "bacterial SSU rRNA". It matches the Rfam family "Bacterial small subunit ribosomal RNA", at positions 21 to 807 of the family's 1533-position model. The record is from RNAcentral.